Molecule: small RNA, 89 nt
Filed under: Staphylococcus aureus
Lineage: Bacteria; Bacillati; Bacillota; Bacilli; Caryophanales; Staphylococcaceae
Description: HMPRFS0000_1163
Source: RNAcentral
UGUUUUAGUACCUCUAUCUAGAGACGGCUGAAUGUCGAAAAGUUCUGGUGUUUCUUCAAUAAAUUUAGUUGUGUAAUCACCACUUGUGA